UACGGAGGGUGCAAGCGUUGUUCGGAAUUACUGGGCGUAAAGGGCGUGUAGGCGGUUAGGCAAGUCAGGUGUGAAAUCCCUUGGCUCAACCAAGGAAGUGCGCUUGAAACUGCUUAACUAGAGUACAGGAGGGGAAAGUGGAAUUCCCAGUGUAGAGGUGAAAUUCAUAGAUAUUGGGAGGAACACCGGUAGCGAAGGCGGCUUUCUGGCCUGAUACUGACGCUGAGACGCGAAAGCGUGGGGAGCAAACAGG
RNAcentral lists this ribosomal RNA (253 nucleotides) under uncultured bacterium. Its description in RNAcentral is "partial 16S ribosomal RNA". It matches the Rfam family "Bacterial small subunit ribosomal RNA", at positions 524 to 776 of the family's 1533-position model. The record is from RNAcentral.